Molecule: ribosomal RNA, 253 nt
Filed under: uncultured bacterium
Lineage: Bacteria
Description: partial 16S ribosomal RNA
Rfam family: Bacterial small subunit ribosomal RNA
Source: RNAcentral
UACGGAGGGUGCGAGCGUUGUCCGGAAUCACUGGGCGUAAAGGGCGCGUAGGCGGCGCGGGGAGUCAACGGUGAAAGCUCGGCGCUCAACGCCGAGUCGGCCGUCGAUACUCCCGGGCUCGAGCACUGUAGAGGCAGAUGGAAUUCCGGGUGUAGCGGUGGAAUGCGUAGAGAUCCGGAAGAACACCGGUGGCGAAGGCGGUCUGCUGGGCAGUUGCUGACACUGAGGCACGAAAGCGUGGGGAGCAAACAGG